Molecule: long non-coding RNA, 478 nt
Filed under: Vulpes vulpes (red fox)
Lineage: Eukaryota; Metazoa; Chordata; Mammalia; Carnivora; Canidae
Description: lncRNA (ENSVVUG00000000071.1)
Source: RNAcentral
UUUAUUGCCAUGUGAAUCUUCAAGCUGAGCAGAGAAAACAGGAUAUCCAAAGCAUAGGAGCCAGUCAUAAAUUGGGAUUCCCAAGAAAAAGAGACUGAGAUAAAUUUUGAGGAGAGAAUCCACAACUCAAGAAGCUGAUUUUGUGGCAAAUCCUGCUCCCCUUAAAUCAGAGAUUGCAUACAUGUCAAAAAUGGCCAGAGAGGAAAAAAAUAAUUAAAGAUAUUAAAUACCUUUUCAAAAGCUUCUAAAAGAUGUGUAUUUUGAGAUUAUAUAUGCAGAAGUUCAGUUGUGAAAAUAUUCAUCCUUCAAAGUAUGAAACACACAUUUGCUGCUUUCCUUCCACUGAAGACUACUGGCUAAAUAUAUUACCAAAAAGAAAAAGUUCAGAUCAAUUUGGUUUGAUAAUGCCACUACGCAUCACUCUGCACAAUUCUGCUAAUCCCUCUGCAGAAAGUAUGAGGGAUUGAAAUACUUCAAU